GACAGAGGGUGCAAACGUUGUUCGGAAUUACUGGGCGUAAAGCGCGUGUAGGCGGUUCGGAAAGUCGGAUGUGAAAGCCCUGGGCUCAACCCAGGAAGUGCACUCGAAACUCCCGAACUCGAGUCCUGGAGAGGAAGGCGGAAUUCUCGGUGUAGAGGUGAAAUUCGUAGAUAUCGAGAGGAACAUCGGUGGCGAAGGCGGCCUUCUGGACAGCGACUGACGCUGAGACGCGAAAGCCAGGGGAGCAAACGGG
This 253-nucleotide ribosomal RNA is filed under the name uncultured bacterium. RNAcentral's name for it is "partial 16S ribosomal RNA". It matches the Rfam family "Bacterial small subunit ribosomal RNA", at positions 524 to 776 of the family's 1533-position model. The record is from RNAcentral.